GGCAGAAAGAACUGGGAAACAGAGUUAAUUAAAAGGAGAUUUUAAGACAAUGGUUGGGAUGAAAGCGAGCAAGGCGCGUUCCUGCUCAAACCUGAUUUAAACUUGACUUCUUGACAGACAGCAGGUCCUCCUGGGCGCAGCCCCCGCCCAGGUGCAGAGGCUCGUCUUUGUCCCCAGGGGCCUCACAGGGGAGAGAGUCAGCACCCUUUCAGCUGCAGCAAUCCGAGGUGUCCACCCUGCGCACUGACCCCCUGCCAGGAUGACUGCAGAGAACAGGUGACUGGAGAGGCAGAACCAGAAAUGGGCGGGUCACCAACUGCCCCAUCCAGGACGACAGGCCCGCUGCGCGGCCCAGACCCGCAUCCCGGUGCUGUGCACAAGGACCCACUUCAGAAAGCUCGCCCCCAGGGCGUGAAGCCCACGAAGCCGCCGGCCUCCCGCUCCAUCCUGCCAGCCUGCGUCCCCUCGGCGCCCUCUGUGCCCACGCUCACUGACAAUGCUCCCCAGGACGGGCACACGGGGGAAGUCCGGGACAGAGGCUGGCACUGA
Molecule: long non-coding RNA, 549 nt
Filed under: Capra hircus (goat)
Lineage: Eukaryota; Metazoa; Chordata; Mammalia; Artiodactyla; Bovidae
Description: lncRNA (ENSCHIG00000001586.1)
Source: RNAcentral